RNAcentral lists this ribosomal RNA (391 nucleotides) under uncultured bacterium. RNAcentral's name for it is "bacterial SSU rRNA". It matches the Rfam family "Bacterial small subunit ribosomal RNA", at positions 28 to 420 of the family's 1533-position model. The record is from RNAcentral.
GACGAACGCUGGCGGCGUGCUUAACACAUGCAAGUCGAGCGGUAAGGCCCUUUCGGGGGUACACGAGCGGCGAACGGGUGAGUAACACGUGGGUGACCUGCCCUCAGCUCUGGGAUAAGCCUGGGAAACUGGGUCUAAUACCGGAUAUGACUCCAUGACGCAUGUUGUGGGGUGGAAAGCCUUGUGCGGCUGAGGAUGGGCCCGCGGCCUAUCAGCUUGUUGGUGGGGUGAUGGCCUACCAAGGCGACGACGGGUAGCCGGCCUGAGAGGGCGACCGGCCACACUGGGACUGAGACACGGCCCAGACUCCUACGGGAGGCAGCAGUGGGGAAUAUUGGUCAAUGGGUGAGAGCCUGAACCAGCCAUGCCGCGUGCAGGAAGAAGGCCUUCU